This is a long non-coding RNA of Etheostoma spectabile (orangethroat darter), 193 nucleotides long. RefSeq lists it as uncharacterized. NCBI's taxonomy places the organism in Eukaryota, Metazoa, Chordata, Actinopteri, Perciformes, Percidae. The transcript has 3 exons. The record is from RefSeq and is a predicted model, not a curated record.
AAUUCUGAUAUUCUCUGAGAUUAAAGUGGUAAAUUUGGAUUUGGAAUGAAAUACUUCUCUGCAAUUUUCACACUUUGCAAAAUAAUCCAGUGGGCCUGAAUGGACCCUUUGGCGGGCCGGUUCUGGCCCACGGGCUGUAUGUUUGACACCCCUGAUUGACACACUCCGAAGGUCUUUGUGCAAAACUGUGUCU